RNAcentral lists this long non-coding RNA (264 nucleotides) under Hordeum vulgare. RNAcentral's name for it is "long non-coding RNA (HVUL_LNC001607)". The record is from RNAcentral. Lineage: Eukaryota; Viridiplantae; Streptophyta; Magnoliopsida; Poales; Poaceae.
ACGAUUCGGCCGGCGCGCUGGCGCAGAGCACUGCCCAUAUAAAUAACAUCAUUCAUUCUUCGUUGCAUGGUGCUUGCUCCACUUACGCCUCUCUCGAGUCGGCCCGUAAGUUUCUAUGCUCUGCUUUUCUGCCACCUCAAUGGUGACCACCAUCGCGUACUACACCUCAACCAUGGAGUCGCUCGCGCGUCGUCCGAUCCAGCGCACCGCUUCCCGAUGUCGGCCUUGCCUAAGAAGUCCGCUUGGAAGCAGCCCCAUUCUUUC